GUGGGGAAUAUUGGACAAUGGGGGGAACCCUGAUCCAGCCAUGCCGCGUGUGUGAAGAAGGCCUUUUGGUUGUAAAGCACUUUAAGCGAGGAGGAGGCUACCGAGAUUAAUACUCUUGGAUAGUGGACGUUACUCGCAGAAUAAGCACCGGCUAACUCUGUGCCAGCAGCCGCGGUAAUACAGAGGGUGCAAGCGUUAAUCGGAUUUACUGGGCGUAAAGCGCGCGUAGGUGGCCAAUUAAGUCAAAUGUGAAAUCCCCGAGCUUAACUUGGGAAUUGCAUGCGAUACUGGUUGGCUAGAGGAUGGGAGAGGAUGGUAGAAUUCCAGGUGUAGCGGUGAAAUGCGUAGAGAUCUGGAGGAAGACCGAUGGCGAAGGCAGCCAUCUGGCCUAAUACUGACACUGAGGUGCGAAAGCAUGGGGAGCAAACAGGAUUAGAUACCCCUGUAGUCC
Molecule: ribosomal RNA, 451 nt
Filed under: uncultured bacterium
Lineage: Bacteria
Description: partial 16S ribosomal RNA
Rfam family: Bacterial small subunit ribosomal RNA
Source: RNAcentral